UGAGUGGCGAACGGGUGAGUAACACGUGAGUAACCUGCCCUCUUCUUUGGGAUAACGCCCGGAAACGGGUGCUAAUACUGGAUAUUCACUGAUCUUCGCAUGGGGGUUGGUGGAAAGGUUUUUUCUGGUGGGGGAUGGGCUCGCGGCCUAUCAGCUUGCUGGUGGGGUGAUGGCCUACCAAGGCUUUGACGGGUAGCCGGCCUGAGAGGGUGACCGGUCACAUUGGGACUGAGAUACGGCCCAG
This 244-nucleotide ribosomal RNA is filed under the name uncultured bacterium. RNAcentral describes it as "partial 16S ribosomal RNA". It matches the Rfam family "Bacterial small subunit ribosomal RNA", at positions 92 to 334 of the family's 1533-position model. The record is from RNAcentral.